GGGCAGGUACCGAAGUGGACAAACGGGGCUGACUGUAAAUCAGCUGGCAAAGCCUUCGGCGGUUCGAAUCCGUCCCUGCCCA
RNAcentral lists this transfer RNA (82 nucleotides) under Anaerolineales bacterium. RNAcentral describes it as "tRNA-Tyr". It matches the Rfam family "tRNA". From Rfam's summary of the family: Transfer RNA (tRNA) molecules are approximately 80 nucleotides in length. The record is from RNAcentral. Lineage: Bacteria; Bacillati; Chloroflexota; Anaerolineae; Anaerolineales.